UAAUUAGUAUUUUAUCUAGUUACUUUUAAUUUAUCAUACUUUCAAUAAAACUAAAAAUACUAAAAUAGUUUUGACAUUUUGUUCUUCAAAAGAUAAAAAAGCAAGGCUUCAAAAAAAAUAUUCUUUACAUAAUUUAGUUAUUAAUAGUAGUUAUUUAAUAGUAUUCUGAUUUCUUUAGUAUAGCUAAUUUGUUUUUUUUCUUUCUUUAAUACUUUUUUUAGAUAAUUAUUAUUUUUUGUCUAGCAAAUUUUAAGUUUAUCUUACUAGUGAAAUUGAAAAUUACCAAAAAAUAGUCACAUGUUUUUAAGUUUUAUUAUAUUAGUAGUAGUUUUGUUGUAGUGCUAUUUUAGCUUCUUUGAAAUAAAAGUAGUUGGUUUAAUCUUAUUUCAACAUUUUGGGGUAAGGAGGAACUAACAAAAUUUCUUUUAAAAUUGCUAAGAUUCCAUCUUAUCAUGGAUAACAAACUUUCUUUCUAAAAAUUUUUUAUAAGAUCACUCACGCCAAUUUCCUGUACACCACAUUAGUAAUGCAUUUCAUUUUUUAUUUACAUACAAAUUACUUUUCUCUAGGCAGUAAGGAAUUCACUGCACCACCAUAUUGAGAUUUCAUUUUUUAUAUUGUGGGGACCACAUAUUUUCUAGACAGAUCUUUACUUCUUUUCCAAGCACACACAGUCCAUGGUAAGAUAUUAUAUAAAUGGCCCAUACACAUCACUUAGAGAGAGGGGAGAGACGGAAAAAAAAUCCCUAGCGCCGCACGCCUUCAAGAGCUAGCAACGACCAACCUUUCUUCUUCAUCUCCAAGACCAUUUAGCUGCAGAAUUCCUCUCUCUUCACCACAAAAUCAACCCUAACUCCUCUACCCCAAGAGACAACCGCAUACCCCAUCUCCAACCGCCCACCUUUGGCCAUCUCGUCGGAAUUCGACACCAAAAAAAGACACACGCACACACAGGCACGGAUAGAGCAAAGUGACGGAAGAACUCAGAGAUGGCGGUACCACUACUGUUUUAGCCAAAAGUCCCUUCACCGACUCAAUUUCGAGCUUGAGUUCCGUCGAAGUCGCCGGUGUAGUUUCACUAUUGAUAGGUGGUCUGUUCGUUGGUUCCGUUCUUAGUUCGAAGGUCUGAUAGCUGUUCCUUGCUCAUUUUUAGAUUUGUUUAAUAAUACACAUUGUUCGACUUUCAGUCCAGUUAUCGAAGGUGACCAUUUGCUAAUUUGAGGCCCUUUGUUGUCGAUGAUGAAGAAGAUGGGGACCGAGGGUGGAUGGAUCGAUUUGUCUAAGUAAGGACUGUCGAUGUUAUCCUCGUGGAGUUCCUGCCGUUUCCUAAGAAAUGGAAUGUCACACCAACCCCGUGGAUGCCAUACGAGGUCCCCGACCUGACGGAUUUGGCUUGGAAGCUGGCGGCUCGCUCGACCUAUGAUAAGCGUAAGUGGCGAGAUCUAUGCAAGGGUAGAUCAAAGGCAAAACAUCAUGGCGUCGGAGAAUUUUUUGAGAUGAGACCGUUCCCCCUCGGGGAGGAGGAAGAAUCGUCGGCUUUAGGGUCGAGUAACGAUAACAAACGAAAUGAGUCCUUGAAGGACGAGGGUGCUCAUAGCGAGGCAAGCCCUGCUCGGAGACUCAAAGAAGAUAUAUCCGCUGAGCCUGCGGCAUCUGAGGCUUCUAGCCUUGGAAAAGUGGUUCCUCCCAUGCUGCCGUCUUCAUUUCCUGUCGAAGGUACUUCGAGGGAAUCGUCCUCCCCUCCUGUCGAAGGUACUUAGAAGGAUGAUCGAAAUCAGGGGCCGCCUAAAUCAAGCAGGGUCUCAAGCGACCAUGUCCCUACCGAGAUUAGUUCAACUGGGGCCGGUGGGACCAGGCCAGUAGAUGCAUGCUCAACCUUUGAGGAGGCUCAACGACUUUGUUUGCUGGCCUUUGAUAAGCUCAAGUCCGAGCUGCUCCGCUGUGAAGCCAGUUUGAGGAAAGCCUUGGAUGGGGAGAAAUCCCUCAGGCUUCUUUGUGAUAAAAGGGGAGAUGAGUUGGUAUACCUGCGGUACAAGGCGAAUCGGAUCCUGAACUACGAAAGCCACCUUGAGAGACAGUUGCAGAUCAAGACAGAGGAUCUGGAAUGCCAAGGGGCGAGGUUGGCCAGGCCAAGCGUGAGUGUAACGAGCUAAAGGCUUAGAUAGAUGCCCAUAUUGCGGCCAAGAAGAAUACUUUGGCCAAGGUUUUUGCCCUUAAGGUACAGCUCCAGAACGCCCGUGAAAAUAGCUCAGUUCAAACGAGCAGAAUUGCAAGGCUCGAGUCUGACUUUUGGAGAUGAAGGCCGAGGUCGUGGACACCCGGGCUGAAGCUGAAUAGAUUCGGGCUAAGGCAAACAAGAAAGUGGUCGUCUAUUUAAAAGAUGAUGCUGAUGCUCGAGCUAAGUUGAGAGGUGCUUUCGAUAGAGAGAGUAGAAGUAAUGAAUAUGCCCGGUGUAAAUCUCGGAGGGAAACCCUCGAAGAGAUUCACGCUAGGGGCUUCGAUCUCUCGGAGGAGAUAGCACAGGCCAAUGAGGAUGAAUACAACGCCAAAUUCCUCGUAUCUGAUGCCGAAGAUAAUGGAGAAGAGGUCGAUUGGGCCGCAAUCCCCGGGGGGAAAAUAGACCAGGCUUUUUCUUUUUGAUUCUUUGUAUAGUGCUCUUAGAGAGCAUUUGCAAAUGUAGCCUUGCAUUGUUUCAUAUGUGUAUAAAUAAAGUAACCUUUCGAUUUUCGCCUUCCA
Long non-coding RNA from Nicotiana tabacum (common tobacco), 2736 nucleotides. RefSeq lists it as uncharacterized. The record is from RefSeq and is a predicted model, not a curated record. Lineage: Eukaryota; Viridiplantae; Streptophyta; Magnoliopsida; Solanales; Solanaceae.